AGAAUUUCCAAAAUGCUGUCUUAGUUUACAAAAAGUAGUUCUAGCUACUGAAGACAGAGUGCAGGAAAUCAUUCAAGUAAAAAAUUUGGAAGCAACAAAGAAGUAAGCCAAAGAAACUGCAGUGAUGACCAUAUCCUCCUACUGACUUAUGGUGAAGACAAAAGAAAAGCAAAGAUGCCUUGCACGUGGAUACUGGGCAUUACUAAACAGAGAUGCUGGCGGACCUGAACUCACACUGCUUGUCUGUUAC
Long non-coding RNA from Falco peregrinus (peregrine falcon), 250 nucleotides. RefSeq lists it as uncharacterized. The record is from RefSeq and is a predicted model, not a curated record. The transcript has 3 exons. Lineage: Eukaryota; Metazoa; Chordata; Aves; Falconiformes; Falconidae.